Molecule: ribosomal RNA, 468 nt
Filed under: uncultured bacterium
Lineage: Bacteria
Description: partial 16S ribosomal RNA
Rfam family: Bacterial small subunit ribosomal RNA
Source: RNAcentral
GACGAACGCUGGCGGCGUGCUUAACACAUGCAAGUCGAACGGAAAGGCCCUGCUUUUGUGGGGUGCUCGAGUGGCGAACGGGUGAGUAACACGUGAGUAACCUGCCCUUGACUUUGGGAUAACUUCAGGAAACUGGGGCUAAUACCGGAUAGGAGCUCCUGCUGCAUGUUGGGGGUUGGAAAGUUUCGGCGGUUGGGGAUGGACUCGCGGCUUAUCAGCUUGUUGGUGGGGUAGUGGCUUACCAAGGCUUUGACGGGUAGCCGGCCUGAGAGGGUGACCGGCCACAUUGGGACUGAGAUACGGCCCAGACUCCUACGGGAGGCAGCAGUGGGGAAUAUUGCACAAUGGGCGGAAGCCUGAUGCAGCAACGCCGCGUGCGGGAUGGCGGCCUUCGGGUUGUAAACCGCUUUCGCCUGUGACGAAGCGUGAGUGACGGUAAUGGGUAAAGAAGCACCGGCUAACUACGUG